AAAUUGAAGAGUUUGAUCAUGGCUCAGAUUGAACGCUGGCGGCAGGCCUAACACAUGCAAGUCGAACGGUAACAGGAAGAAGCUUGCUUCUUUGCUGACGAGUGGCGGACGGGUGAGUAAUGUCUGGGAAACUGCCUGAUGGAGGGGGAUAA
Molecule: ribosomal RNA, 152 nt
Filed under: Escherichia coli
Lineage: Bacteria; Pseudomonadati; Pseudomonadota; Gammaproteobacteria; Enterobacterales; Enterobacteriaceae
Description: partial 16S ribosomal RNA
Rfam family: Bacterial small subunit ribosomal RNA
Source: RNAcentral